Molecule: long non-coding RNA, 220 nt
Filed under: Gallus gallus (chicken)
Lineage: Eukaryota; Metazoa; Chordata; Aves; Galliformes; Phasianidae
Source: RNAcentral
AGCACCUCUAUUAAUGUAAGCUUUCUUAGUGACCAUUUCCAUUGUAUUUCAGAUCAUCAGGAGCAGUUUCCAAGGAGACUACCUCCUUGUGGGUUGAAUCUUCAGCAGGUGCAUAUUAGCUCAUUUCCAGCGAAGUCUGCAGGCAGAAAAUCAACUCUGCUCUUGCCUGACCUUCUCACCUGCUUCCUGUUUUAUCCUCUCAUGGAUGCAACUUUCCCCG